This is a long non-coding RNA of Bubalus bubalis (water buffalo), 2169 nucleotides long. RefSeq lists it as uncharacterized. NCBI's taxonomy places the organism in Eukaryota, Metazoa, Chordata, Mammalia, Artiodactyla, Bovidae. The record is from RefSeq and is a predicted model, not a curated record. The transcript is spliced from 4 exons.
UCUGUAUGAACGUUAAGAUCUGCUGAGAGGGUGGAGAUGCCUCCUGGACUGGCCCAAGCCAGUCCUCCUGUGUAAGUUUCCUUGCUUAUUAAAUCUGCCACCUACCUGCCUGGCUUUGGUUCUUCCUUGCCUUCAGUGUUUGGGGGGCCAGCUUCAGAUAUCCUCCGGGGAACUCCUGAGUUUUUAAGCCAGCACUCAGAAGUUGCGUUGUCAGGGGUCCCAUGCCUGUGGACCCACAGACCGCUGAGCUGGCAGGAAAGGCAAACCCACGCCUGGAAUUGGAAUCCUCACCUGUGAGGCUGCCUUUUCUUUCGGCCAUGCUGCACGACAUGUGGGAUCUUAGUUCCCUGAUCAAGGAUCAAACCCAUGUGCCCUCUGUAGACAGUGAUAAGUUUUAACCACUGGACCAUGAGGGAAGUCCUGACACCUGUGAGGAUGGGCUACAGGCUCUCCCUUUGCAGCUUGCUGAGACACACAGAGGCAGCGGCAGCUGAUCCACCUUGGUAAGUGGGAGUCCACAGUGCUGGGCUGUCUAUGGCCCCCAUCUCUGGCACAAUGACUUAUUCCAUCACGCACCUUUUAAGUUCUGGGUGGCCAGUGACAAUGGCUGACAGCAUCAGCUGACCGAGUCGUUUUGUCUCCUGGGUUGUUCAGUGGAUGCACAACCCGCGUAUCAUGUGGGUGUUUCUCGUGGGUGUGAACGUGUGACACGCAAGUCCAUCCUCUCUAUGGAGGGUCUGUGUGUGCCUCUGCGUGCCUCCACUCCAGAUUGUCUCAUCUCUGAUCUUCCAGAUUUUUUCUUUCCAGACCCCUGACUAAAGCCCAGACCUUUGGCUACUGCCCAGGAAUACUGAUACAGUCUCACUUCUGUCCAAAGUGAAGGACCAGAGGCGUUGUUUGCAGAUCUGCCCAGUGGGGAGUGUCCCCUCUCAGUGUCUUUCGAGUAUGCUCCGUGUUGAAAGAUAAACUUAGGCAUUUCAAAUAUUUUAAGAGUUUAUUUGGACAUUUUUUUAAUUCAAAUCAGCCAGCACCAAACUGUGUUUAGGCAGCUUCACCAGCUGGAGCUCAGAGACUGGCUUGUAGGAAGCAAGACAGGGACCUGCUGGUUGGAUACAGCUUACAGCCCAGCUGGGUGAAUGUGAUUGGCUGUCCUUAGUUUAGCUUUAAUAACCUUGAGGCAUUUCAGCCUUAGAUUUUGGUUUGCUGACUCAGGCUGCCAGGACCUUGGACCGUAUCAGCCUAACAGCCUCCUAUUUGAUUACCACCCUGAAGACGGCUGUAAUGCAGCUGCCAACUGUUUUCAGCUUGAACCACUGCAAGGAAUGUUUAGGAGACAGAAUCGAGUAUAAAUUCCAUCAGAGUAGGAUUUUUUUUUUUUUGGCUGUGCUGCUUGGCAUAUGUGAUCUUAGUUACCUGACCAGGGAUCGAACCCAGGCCAAUGGCAGUUGAUGUGCAGAUUCCUAACCACUGGACUACCAAGAAAGUCCCCAGGGAAGACGGCAAUGAAGAGCAGUUUGUUCAUGACCUUGGAAAAACCAAGAGAGUUGUUUUUACCGUCACCAGUAUUUACUGAGCACUGACUGCGUCAGGUCCUUAGGACACAUCAGUGGACCAAACAAGAACCCUGCCCUCUGAACUUUCCUUUCAUCGACCUCUUUCAAAGCUCCAAUUCAGGGCUAAUGUGGAGAGUCAGGCAGCGUCCUAGGGUCUGUGGGUCUUAGGCCAUAGAGAACACCCUUCACAUAAAAUCACUCUUCUUAUGCGGUGUAUACAGACCAUGGAAUACUUCCCAGCCAUCAAAAGGAAUGAAAUACCGUUACAUGCAGCAACAUGAAUGGACCUAGAGAUGAUCAUACUAAAUGAAAUAAGACAGGCAGGGAGAGACAAAUAUAUGCUCUCCUUUAUAUGUGGAAUCUGACAUAUUGCACAAGUAAACGUAUCUAUAGAACAGAAACAGACUCACAGGCAUAGAGAACAGGCUUAUGGUGGGCAAGGGGGCGGGAAGUGGGGAAAGGAUGGAAUGGGUGAGCAAAUACAAACCAUUAUACAUAGAAUGGAUAAACAAGGUCCUACUAUAUAGCACGGGGAACUAUAUCCAAUAUCCUGUGAUAAGCCAUAAUGGAAAAGAAUAUGAAAAAGAAUGUAUAUGAUUUAUGAUAACGGAGUCAC